This is a long non-coding RNA of Gavialis gangeticus (Gharial), 119 nucleotides long. RefSeq lists it as uncharacterized. The record is from RefSeq and is a predicted model, not a curated record. Lineage: Eukaryota; Metazoa; Chordata; Crocodylia; Gavialidae. The transcript is spliced from 3 exons.
ACACUGUCUCUCACCCCAUUCUCAUUAAAAAACUAGGAGACAGUGGUGUCGAUACCUACAGGGCCAGAUGGGUCACUAGUUGGCUGGAGGGCCGCACCCAGAGAGUGGUGGUGGAUGGG